CCCUUAGAUGUUCUGGGCCGCACGCGCGCUACACUGGUACGUUCAACAAGUUUACAACCUUGAUCGAUAGGUCUGGGUAAUCUUUUUAAUGCGUACCGUGCUAGGGAUAGAUUAUUGCAAUUAUUAAUCUUGAACGAGGAAUUCCUAGUAAACGCAAGUCAUCAGCUUGCAUUGAUUACGUCCCUGCCCUUUGUACACACCGCCCGUCGCACCUACUGAUUGAAUGACUCGGUGAAAAAUUGGGACUGUGAGAACAAUCGAUUCAGUUCGAAUGUACUCGUGGAAACUUUUUUUAACCUCGCCAUUUAGAAGAAGGUGAANUCGUANCA
RNAcentral lists this ribosomal RNA (329 nucleotides) under uncultured eukaryote. RNAcentral's name for it is "partial 18S ribosomal RNA". It matches the Rfam family "Eukaryotic small subunit ribosomal RNA", at positions 1470 to 1796 of the family's 1831-position model. The record is from RNAcentral.